Molecule: small RNA, 181 nt
Filed under: Flavobacterium succinicans
Lineage: Bacteria; Pseudomonadati; Bacteroidota; Flavobacteriia; Flavobacteriales; Flavobacteriaceae
Description: Flavo-1 RNA
Rfam family: Flavo-1 RNA
Source: Rfam by way of RNAcentral
GCCUAGACCUGAUCGAAAUGAAAAGCCUCUUGUAGUUCAACUGAAUGUUUUACUUGUACUAGCAGAGCUUCGUCCUCACCCCAGCCCCUCUCCGAAGGAUAGGGUAGCUAUUAGCUCCUGCUAGUGCUUUAGUGAAAAUCGGUUGAGUCACAAGAGCUUGUAAUGAAGAGCAGGAUUUUGU